This 154-nucleotide ribosomal RNA is filed under the name [Candida] sp. CBS 10852. RNAcentral's name for it is "Candida sp. CBS 10852 5.8S ribosomal RNA". It matches the Rfam family "5.8S ribosomal RNA". From Rfam's summary of the family: 5.8S ribosomal RNA (5.8S rRNA) is a component of the large subunit of the eukaryotic ribosome. It is transcribed by RNA polymerase I as part of the 45S precursor that also contains 18S and 28S rRNA. Lineage: Eukaryota; Fungi; Ascomycota; Saccharomycetes; Saccharomycetales. RNAcentral also lists the same sequence under 2 other names. The record is from RNAcentral.
AAACUUUCAACAACGGAUCUCUUGGUUCUCGCAUCGAUGAAGAACGCAGCGAAACGCGAUAUGUAAUGUGAAUUGCAGAAUGUGAAUCAUCGAAUCUUUGAACGCACAUUGCGCCCUCUGGUAUUCCAGAGGGCAUACCUGUUUGAGCGUCAGU